AUUGUCGGUUGUUUAAGAUGCCAUGAUUACGAAGGUGGUUUCCCAGGGCGAGGCUCACCCAGUGCACUCCGGGUGUGCUACCCCUGAGAUUUCCCCAAAUGUGGGAAACUCCACUGCAUAAUGGUAGUGGGGUACUGCGUUUGCGCUCUCCCCUG
This 155-nucleotide small nuclear RNA is filed under the name Echinops telfairi (small Madagascar hedgehog). Its description in RNAcentral is "U1 spliceosomal RNA (ENSETEG00000023436.1)". It matches the Rfam family "U1 spliceosomal RNA". Rfam says of the family: U1 is a small nuclear RNA (snRNA) component of the spliceosome (involved in pre-mRNA splicing). Its 5' end forms complementary base pairs with the 5' splice junction, thus defining the 5' donor site of an intron. There are significant differences in sequence and secondary structure between metazoan and yeast U1 snRNAs, the latter being much longer (568 nucleotides as compared to 164 nucleotides in human). The record is from RNAcentral. Lineage: Eukaryota; Metazoa; Chordata; Mammalia; Afrosoricida; Tenrecidae.